GACAGAGGGUGCAAACGUUGCUCGGAAUCACUGGGCGUAAAGGGCGUGUAGGCGGGAAGGAAAGUCAGAUGUGAAAUCCCCAGGCUCAACCUGGGAACUGCAUUUGAAACUCCCUUUCUUGAGUACCGGAGAGGAAAGUGGAAUUCCUGGUGUAGAGGUGAAAUUCGUAGAUAUCAGGAGGAACACCGGUGGCGAAGGCGGGUCUCUGGGCAGUAACUGACGCUGAGGAGCGAAAGCGUGGGGAGCGAACAGG
This 253-nucleotide ribosomal RNA is filed under the name uncultured bacterium. Its description in RNAcentral is "partial 16S ribosomal RNA". It matches the Rfam family "Bacterial small subunit ribosomal RNA", at positions 524 to 776 of the family's 1533-position model. The record is from RNAcentral.